RNAcentral lists this long non-coding RNA (8549 nucleotides) under Homo sapiens (human). RNAcentral's name for it is "HSALNT0047157". The record is from RNAcentral. Lineage: Eukaryota; Metazoa; Chordata; Mammalia; Primates; Hominidae.
UGAAGACCUAGAGAUCACUUUAAUCUUACAAGCACAUUCUUCAGAUUGUCGUGUGGGUGGGUAACUUCCGCCAGACUUUUCUGGAGAUGGCUAAUCCAGCCGUGGGAUGUGGUUUCUUCUAACAGCCAGUCAGGAAAAUCUUGCUUCUCAAACUCCUGUCUUGACCCCUUCCUGAACUUUGCCUCCUGGAUCUUGAGGUCUGCCUUCUGUGGAAGAGAAAUACUAGAAUCAAUGAACUGUGAACUAGAGCCCUGGGAUUAUCAACAGCCAGCUGAAAUUUUGAGAGCCACCUUAUAGAAAGCCUAACAGCAAAGACUGGAGAGAGGCUUCCAGCCAACAGCCAGCAAGGAAUUGAAGCCCUCAGUCCAAUAGCAGUGAGGAAUUGAAUCCUGCCAACAGCCUCGUGGACCGACUGCUUCAUGCUGGGCUUCAGACAUGAGAGGCUAGGAGUAGGAGGCAUGCCUUGUUCAAAGGUCUUAAAUGUGGGAAAUAGUCUACAGUUUGGAAGACACCAGAGAAAAAUGCUCCACAGCUCGCCCUGGUGACUCACUACAACUUAUGGGAAGAUGUGAGAUUAUUCUGUAUUCUAAUGUAUGUUAGAAGGCACACUCCACCCAAAGCCUUCCUGUGUGUUCCUCCCUGUGAGCUCACAUCCCGUUCACCAGCUGACUGGGAAGGGAAGUCAGGACCAGCCCUGACCCCAUCACACCAUCAUAACCUCGGGAUGGCAGGGCUGGAAGGCACCUCAGACGUCAUCCUUUGCAGACUCUUCAUUUUACAGUGAGAGGCAUGACGUGUCCACAGCUGGUUAGUGCCAAAGCCUGGGACAGGCUUCACAUUGUCCAGCUCUUAGUCAGAGCACUGUUGACAAUGUCUGCCUUCACUUGGAAUUCAGCACCUGCUUUCAGUAUAAACCCCUGCAUUUCACUAAAACUGAGCAGACUGCUGGUUUAAAAAAGAGAGGUCCAUCCAGCAGGGAUGAUGCUUUUCCUCGUUGAAAGAGGACAUUCACCUAAUGGGAGACCUGGAGUCAGAAUCUUUCUGAUGUGUGACUUGGCACAGUAACACAAUGCAGGAUGCUGGUGUGUUAAUAAAAAUAAAAAUUGCAUCGCCUACCUCAGAGUCGACAACAAUGUCAAGGAGUUAAUAGUCUUGGCAACACAGAGGCCACUGGACAGAGGCAUAACCUUGCGUGGCAGCUGCACGGGAAUUGGAUUUGGCUCAGGUGUUUCAGAUGACUAAGUUGGGAGCAUUUGACAAUUUUAGAUGUGGGAUGAAAAUUGCCUUAUCUAAGACAUAGGGCACCUGCAGAAGUAAAGAGAAACAGAACAAAGGGGACCACUCUUGGUAUAGAAGUUCAUCUCGUCGGGAGCAUCUGUGGUUCUUUUAUAAGCAAUGUACAUUCUACAAUAGAGGCAGACCCAGAAAUAAUUCAGAUAUUGGAGUUAGAAGAUCAGGAUUCUAAAAAAACCAAAAGAUCCUGCCUUACUAUGCACCUAUGGCCCUUCAAAGGCGAGAGUAGAAUCUGCUAUGAUUUAGAAGCAAGCAAUAAAAAGUACACAUCAGAAUUGGAGCCUGCACAGAUGUAGAAGGAGGCAUGAAGAGGGUAUUGGAGGAUUGCCCACUAUGCAGUCUGCAUCCUGAGUCUGUGGUGAGGCUGGACACGUUCAAGCUUACAGGAGAACUGGAGAAAGCAAGCAACACAGCGGUGGAAGUGAGACCACUGAAGCAGGGACAAGAGUGGAGGAGACAAACUGGACUCGGAACAAACUGGGAGCCUCUGCAUCCAUCCGUAACUGUCUGGCCGUGACAGUGGUUAGAGAGGAGUGGCUUCUGUGAAACUCUCACAAUCUCAAAUCUCCCACAAGUGCCUCUUUCAGCUAACUCUAAACUGGUACCAUAGAGGAAAUGGAUUCUGAAAACUUGGUCUCCAACCUUAGACAAAUUGAAUAAUUAAUAUGUCCUCUCCUGCUUCUUCUGUAACUGAAUUUGCAUUGGGAAGCAGGCCUGUCACUCUCAGACUUUGUGGUUUGAGUAGGGCUCACUUCAGCACCACCUUUUCCUCUUCUCAGCCCCACGGACUGGCAUGAGACUCAGGCCUGGCCAACUGAAUGUCACACACCUAUGACCAUCAGUUGGCUCAGAGAUGGACUCAGGACACCAUCACAGCCAAUGAAACCCUGUUAGGGAAAUUUGUCAGAACCAUACAAAGAAAUAGCUCCACUUUUCCAUAGAGAUGAGACAUAAGCCUGGACUAACUGGUGUCCAAUUUGCCAUCAAGAGAGCAUCUGAGAAGACAGAGGAAAACUGGGGAAAGCGAAGUCUAAGGAAGGUGAGUAAGGACAAGUCCAGUUGAUAUUACAUGAAUCACCUGGACCUGGAAAUCAAGGCAUUGCUGGAUUCAAGGCCAAGAAAAAUUGGAAGCUGGCUUGAAUCAGGUUCUAUCACUUGCAGUUGAAAAGGUCCAGACUAAUAUGAUAACAAAGGAGCAAGUAAGCAAGAUUCUGCCCUACAGGUGCCUAGAGACUUCACCUCUAUUUCCAUGAGGGACUGAACAGCCUCUUGAGAAGGGACUCAUCAAAAUGGAAGAGUUGGCAAUAAGAAGUUUGGCUAAAUAACCAAGCACUGAAGUUGCAGAGGAGAAAGGAUUUGAAAGGCAGUACAGUGUCCAGGGGCAAGUUGGCAAUUUUUAGCAGGAGGUGAAGUGAUGCCAGCAGAGGUAACAGUGCUCAGAGGGACCAGUAGUCCCCAGGAGGAGCAGGGGAAUCCCCAGUGGAUCUGAUUUGUUCAAGAGCACAUGUGAGAUUAUCAGCUGGCGUUACAAUUUUGGAGUGGCAGUGAGAAGCAGUGAAUUUGAGGUCACUCAAUUUGCAGACCCCAAAGGGUGAAAUGUUGAGAAACAUGAGUUACACAUGUAUUUAACAGCUCUUGUGUAUUAUCACAAAUCCUAUUUCACCUCUCAUGCCCCCGAGGCUUUGGUGUCCAGUUCUCUGAAGACUUCAUCAAUCCUCAGCCAUAAAUCACCUGAGAGCAACUCACCUUGCUUCAUACUAUGAAGCUCCCUGAUGUCACAGCAUGGCAGGCCUGUGGCAACCCCUCAACACUUAUGCAUGAUCCCAAACAGCUAGAGGAUUAACACCUACGGUGUAACCCUUGACCAGCAGGAAAUGGAAAUUACUGUCUUUUUGUCCCCGCAGGUGAAUGGUUCUAAAAUGCAUUUUAUAAGCCUUCUGAAAUAGUCCCACAGGUCAAGCACCUACUUGCUCCAGUGGUGACCAACUCAAUGAUGCAUCCUUGGGUUGACUCUCCCUCCUUUCCAGUUCACUUUCCCCGCCCCUCACUCCUGCACCUCAGCAUCACAUUCCUGAAUAAACCACUCACACAUCUGUCUUAUUUCAGACUCUGUUUGGGGGAAUCCACAAUAAAAAUUUGUCAUUUUGAGUUAAACAUUGCUCUCACCUUGAAGACAUAUUUCCAUACCUAGAGAUUUCUGAAGUUCUCUCCCUUUUCCUAUCAUCUCCUUUGUGCUUUGUCUGACCUCCAUGUUACAGAGCCCCAUGAUAUUUAGAGCCAGUACUGCUAGGGAAGUAGUUCAGUUGUGUUUUAAAUGGUUCAGCAACUUGUAACAUCAACUGAGAACCAGAGGAAUACACUUGGAGGCCAAGAAAAAAAUGUUAGCUAAUAUGUACCAUACAGUAUGAUUCCUUGGGUAAGGGAAAGUAUAUGCAAGUGACAGAGGAAAAUUGAAAGUUGUAGCCCUUUUUUGGACUUUAGAUUUGGAAUUAAAGUUUCUCUUCUCUUGAAAGACCUUCUUUUUGUGGAUAAUGAUGAAUCUGAAGACCAGAACAGUGGGCCAAUUUGCCUUAGUUGAGAGUGGCAAAUAAAUGAAGAACUGAAGAACGUAUCUCUUUAACUAGUGCUCCUUUGUUGAGAAGAUACAAAACAAACAAUUGAAGGGUAUGGAUGAAGCCAUUGGCUUAUUCAUGUCUCUGUUGAUCAUAAUGAGAUUAAUAUAUAUAGGACAUUCACACAAAGAGGAUAUUGACUCGAUGGCUUACAGAUUAUUAGAGUUAGAAAUGUGACCUACUACUAAAGGAAGAAUGUUUCAGGUGUGGAUCUCUGAUUUAAAAAAUACACCACACUUGCCUCAGUGAAGCAAGUCAACUUAGGUGCUGAUACAAUGCCACUGCAGCUGUGCUGAGUUCAUGAAAUCAGAUCCCACUCUCUUCACCUACCCCUACCGUAUUCAUCCUACUUUCCGUCUGCUCUGCCCUUCCCAUUUGGUAACCUAGUCAUGAAACACCUGGCUCUGGGUCCUUCCUUCAGCAUCACUCCACGUUGUACUGCUGGCAUCGCUUUUCUUGGCACAGAACCUCUUAGGGCUGCUAUCCUAGGAGUAGGUGCUACUCAGGCUGGCUUAGUCCCAGGCUUCACUCACUUCUUGGCCCAUGGCCAGGAGGACCGGAAAGAACAAACUCUCUGCACAUCUCUGCAGGUGGCCACAGAGCCCCCAUCUGAGCCUUGCUGAUGGAGAAGAGCAUGCUGCAUCACAAGAUAACUGUGUGGCUCUGUUCAAAAACCUUGUUUAGAAGUUAUUAUUUCUUUUAUUGCAUUAGAAUUUGCCUCACUGUAGCUUUUGUGCUUCUGUCCUGGUUCAGCCUUAGAUAGCAGUGCAGCCUGGUCCAUGUGAAAGCUCUUGCAAUAGGCCUUUCUGCUAGUCAGGAGUUCUCAGACCCAUCCCUACUCUUCACUUUUCUCAAGACUAAUAUCAGACUCCUGGGCUCUUCAAGGUUUCCUCAUAUGAUAAAAGUUCUAAGCCCUCCAUUGUCCUAGUCACUGUCCUCUCUGUUCCAUCCCUGUCUGCCCUUCCAAGAUGCUGCACCUGGAGAUGAAUUUGUCCUUCCUGGGGCAAGUCACCAUGAGAUGAUUACUUUUGGAUCAUACUGAAUUUGUGGGUUAAAUAAACUCAUAGGUCUUUAUCUCAUGCACUAAAUCCAAAUUCGAUCUCUUGCCGUAAAUCAUUUUUUUGAAUAGCUGAACAAUAAGUAAAUAAUACACAAAUGAAAACUAAUCAAUAUUUGAACAUCCUCAGUAUUUUCAGCCCUAGUUUGAGCCAGACAUAGCUCAUCUUGUAUACUUCACUAAGGACACUUUAUACGAUCAAGCAAUUAAUAUUAUGAUGUCAUGUCUCGCAAGCCCCAUAGUGUCACUUCCAGUCUCUUCACCACAAAGAACGUUGAAGCCUUCGUAUUUUUUUGAAAAUCAUAUUUCUAGCUGCAGGAUGGGAUGUAAGAAAAGUUCAGAUUAGGAUUAUUCUAGGCUCCUGACUAUAACUAAAAUCCUGAUUUUUUAUGGAAAGGAAUGAGGAUCAUUCCUUCAAAUUAGAUUUUUGUGAUAAAAAGAAAAAAGUUGGUAAUCUAUUCAAAAUUGUAACAAAAAUAACUGCAUUUUUCUUUGGAAAAUAAUAGUUGAUUCCUUUUUGCUUUUUUUACUUAUGAAUUGGGGUGCAAUAGAGUUUAAUAAAAAUGAUGUGAAACACUCUUAUAAGGCUAAUUUAUCACAUUUGCUUCAAGGAAUUGUCCUUUCUAACAAAAUUGUGAAAUGGAACUGAACAGUAGCAUGAUGAGGCCUCUACCAGGAGGAGGUACAGAACAAGGCAGGAGGUCAGUGGUUAAAGGACUCCUUGCUUAUGCUCAAGAAAUGUGGACCUUAUUAGAGGUGACACAGUGAAAUCAGUCACCUGAUUUCGCAGGUGACUGUGGAGCAAGAAUGCAAAUCCACAAUAUUAGGAUGAAUGUGAGAGGAGAAGGGAAGGAGGCCAUGAGGGAAAAAAGGACAUCUAAUUGGGUCUGAAAGGAAGGGUAGAAUUUAAGUAAAGAGCACUGUGUACAUAUGGGAAUACCAUGUACUUUCUCAUGGAGAGAGGCCUUCUGACAGUCCUGCAUUGAUCCUGCUUCUUUGACCAUCCCUUGUUAGCCAGCAGGUCAUUUGGCCUCACUAGUUGCCUCAGUGCUGAGUGAUAGACUCAGCAGUCCCCAGCCUCUUUGGCACCAGGGACUGGUUUUGUGGAAGAUAAUUUUUCCAUGGAUCAGGGAGAGGAUGGUUUCAGGAGGAUUUAAGUGCAUUACAUUUACUGCGCACUUUAUUUCUAAUAUUAUUACAUUGUAAUCUAUAAUGAAAUAAUUAUACAAUUCACCAUAAUGUAGAAUCAGUGGGUGCCCUGAGCUUGUUUUCCUGCAACUAGAUGGUCCCAUCUGGGGGUGAUGGGAGACAGUGACAGAUCAUCAGGCAUUAGAUUCUCAUAAGGAAUGCACAACCUAGAUUCUUCACAUGUGCAGUUCACCAUGAGGUUCACGCUCCUAUGAGAAGCUAAUGCCUCCGCUUAAACGACACAGGAGAUGGAGCUCAGGUAGUAAUGAGUGAAAUGGGGAGCAGCUGUCAAUACAGAUGAAGCUUUGCUUGCUUGCUUGCCGCUCACCACCUGCUGUGCAGCCUGGUUCCUAACUGGUACUGGUCAGUGGCCUGUGGUUGGGAACUCCUGGUAGACUAACAACAGAACAAAGCCAAGUCUCAAGGAGAGACAGUUGUAUAGAUGCCUUCCUGCCCAUUCUCUGUUGUGGGGGCCAAAUCACACAAGACCUGCAUUUAAUUCUUUAUGGGCUUAGGCUGUGAAUUAAUGUAAAAUCUCAAGAAACCAAGAUGACAGGCCAGGGACUAAAGAGCAAAAGAAAGACCACAGCUAUGGUGGGCGAGGAGACAAAGUCAAUCCCACCGGGACAGAUGGUGAUGACCCUUAUCAGUUCUAUUCUGUCAUCUCAUAAAGGUAAAGACUUGUGUUCUUUUUCUUAGGACAGUCCAGAUGGUAUUGGCUGUGCUUAAAGAAAAUUCAGACAUGUGUGAGUGUGGCUGGAAUUGACAUUCAUGAGGUCUUCCGUUUUUAUUUGAAAGGGGCAGAGUAAGUAUUUGUGAACAUUGGAUGGUGAUGAAGAAAAGGAAAUGGUGUCUAGUAUCCUACCUGGCCUCAUGGACCAAGACUAGAAGGAUUAGAGGCAAAGUCGAAGGAAGCUGCCACCAUAAAGGGUUCUGUGAAUGCUGUUUGGCUGAAAUGUGUGACAAAGCACUGGGAAGGGUUUCAUUGCAUUAGCUCAGGCCAUAGCACGACCCUUAACCAACACCUUAAGGUGAUGGUCCCCUUGGCAUAAAUAUUGGUGUUAAAAUCGAGGUUAACCUUAGUGAUAGUAUGGUUAAGAGUCCCCUGCAUGACUUUGGAAGUUGAAGAUGCUGAUCAGGAGAACUAGAGCAGGAAAGAGAAAAUAUGACUGAGGCUAAGUGGUGACUUGGUAUUGACUGAUAGGUGAACACAGGAAUGAAUUUCAGCGAGAACCCCCAGUAACUGUCUGGGGAGUGGAGACUGUGUAUGAACAGGACAGAAAAAAAAGCAGAUUCGGGUAGUGUCCUGUCGUGUGUCUCUUUUACAGUCCUGAAAUGAAGGACUUUCAGUGUUUUCAUUGAGCACCAAUCAAUUCCCUCUUUACAAAAGACCAUAUUGGAACAGCAUCAAGGUUUAGGGAUAUUAAAGCAAUACAGUGACACUGGAAUGACCACUGAGAACCAGCGAACUUCUUCAGCCCUUAUAUCCUCAGGCACUCUGGAAGCCAUGAAUCUGGUUUUCUUGCUAAACUGUGUGUACUGCACAGAGUACAAUGGUAAAGGAACAAAUAUUGGCUCUAAAAUCUCUUGUAAAGGGAAGGGUGGUCAUCCCUUUAGAUGGCAAAUUGAGUUUCUGUAAUGGGGUUUGCUCUGAUGUUGCAUUUCCACUCAGGCAUCAAGACAUUCUGUUGUUUAAAGCCCUAGAUGGGUGAUAUUUCUUUCAUGUGCAAGGCCCGAAUGCUUCACUGAGCUCUCUCUUACCCACACACACUCAUUUAAACCUUGGUCAAAAUUAUCCUUUAGCAUCUGCAUCUUCUCAGAAGGCGGAAGGGUCAAUGGGGAUAAUCAGGAGAGAUGAGGUGCACUUUCAGAAGUUGGAGCUGAGAAGGUGAUGGAAGUAUCUGUAAAGUCGUUGAACAGCUGCACGAACUAUAGGGGAAGCAUUUCUGGAGGCAAAAGGGGAAUAGCCCUUUCCUCUUAAACCAAAGCGAGCACAGCUCCAAAGGCACUUAGAUGGAGAGUUCAUCGGAAUGUGAGCUCUAAGAGUGGCUGAGAAUCUGACAAAAACAGCCAUCUGCCAACCCAAAAUUAAAACUCCUCUGUUUAGCACCCAGUAGAGAAAGUCAACCAGAUUGACUUCGCAAACAAAGGACCUUAAAAGCAUCACCUAAGAAAGUGUGUCAGGAUCCACAGACAUCCAGAGCAUUCUCUAUGGUUCAUUACUUACAUUAUUCUUAUCUAUUUACACAUAAUGUUUAGAUGUAAAAUCCUUACAAUGAAAAGGGUGUAUAUGCUUUAAAAAAGGCACAACAGGGAUCUAGAACUAGAAAUACCAUUUGACCCAGCCAUCCCAUUACUGGGUAUAUACCCAAAUGAGUAUAAAUCAUGCUGCUAUAAAG